AACAGGGAUUGCCUCAGUAACGGCGAGUGAAGCGGCAAAAGCUCAAAUUUGAAACCUUCGGGAUUGUAAUUUGAAGGCCGGCCCUAGUGUGGCCCUAUACUUGUAAGUCCAUUGGAAUAUGGCGCCAGGGAGGGUGACAGCCCCGUCCACCAAGUUCAUUUAGGGCCACAAAUCGGACCGCGCCAAAGAGUCGAGUUGUUUGGGAAUGCAGCUCUAAGUGGGUGGUAAAUUCCAUCUAAAGCUAAAUACAGGCGAGAGACCGAUAGCGAACAAGUACAGUGAUGGAAAGAUGAAAAGCACUUUGAAAAGAGAGUGAAACAGUACGUGAAAUUGUUGAAAGGGAAGGGCUUGCACCCAUUUACUGCCAGCAUCAAUUGGAAAAGAGUGAAAACAGGGCCGGGAAUGUGGCUUUCGAGUGUUAUAGCCCGAGCCCCCUCGCAACUCUUUGUCCGAUUGAGGCCCGCUUUUAUUAGAGGAUGCUGGUUUGAGUGCAAGUCGCCCGUCUUGAAACAA
Molecule: ribosomal RNA, 513 nt
Filed under: [Candida] sp. UWO(PS)99-305.2
Lineage: Eukaryota; Fungi; Ascomycota; Saccharomycetes; Saccharomycetales
Description: LSU rRNA
Rfam family: Eukaryotic large subunit ribosomal RNA
Source: RNAcentral